GAUGAACGCUAGCGAUAGGCUUAACACGUGCAAGUCGAGGGGCAGCACGAAGAUAGUUUACUAUUUUUGGUGGCGACCGGCGCACGGGUGAGUAACGCGUAUGCAAUCUACCUCAUACAAAGGGAUAGCCCGGAGAAAUUCGGAUUAAUACCUUAUAGUAAUAAUUUUCUGCAUGGGAAUUUAUUUAAAGAUUCAUCGGUAUGAGAUGAGCAUGCGUUCCACUAGUUAGUUGGUAAGGUAACGGCUUACCAAGGCAUCGAUGGAUAGGGGAACUGAGAGGUUUAUCCCCCACACUGGAACUGAGACACGGACCAGACUCCUACGGGAGGCAGCAGUGAGGAAUAUUGGUCAAAUGGACGAGAGUCUGAACCAGCCAAGUCGCGUGAAGGAUGACUGCCCUAUGGGUUGUAAACUUCUUUUAUAUGGGAAUAAAAGGGUCUACGUGUAGACAUUUGCAUGUACCAUAUGAAUAAGCAUCGGCUAAACUCCGUGCCAGCA
This 498-nucleotide ribosomal RNA is filed under the name uncultured Bacteroidota bacterium. Its description in RNAcentral is "bacterial SSU rRNA". It matches the Rfam family "Bacterial small subunit ribosomal RNA", at positions 28 to 513 of the family's 1533-position model. The record is from RNAcentral. Lineage: Bacteria; Pseudomonadati; Bacteroidota.